AGUGAACGCUGGCGGUAGGCCUAACACAUGCAAGUCGAACGGCAGCACAGUAAGAGCUUGCUCUUACGGGUGGCGAGUGGCGGACGGGUGAGGAAUACAUCGGAAUCUACUUUUUCGUGGGGGAUAACGUAGGGAAACUUACGCUAAUACCGCAUACGACCUACGGGUGAAAGCAGGGGAUCUUCGGACCUUGCGCGAUUGAAAGAGCCGAUGUCGGAUUAGCUAGUUGGCGGGGUAAAGGCCCACCAAGGCGACGAUCCGUAGCUGGUCUGAGAGGAUGAUCAGCCACACUGGAACUGAGACACGGUCCAGACUCCUACGGGAGGCAGCAGUGGGGAAUAUUGGACAAUGGGCGCAAGCCUGAUCCAGCCAUACCGCGUGGGUGAAGAUGGCCUUCGGGUUGUAAAGCCCUUUUGUUGGGAAAGAAAAGCAGCAGGUUAAUACCCCGCUGUUCUGACGGUACCCAAAGAAUAAGCACCGGCUAACUUCGUG
This 492-nucleotide ribosomal RNA is filed under the name uncultured bacterium. RNAcentral describes it as "partial 16S ribosomal RNA". It matches the Rfam family "Bacterial small subunit ribosomal RNA", at positions 29 to 507 of the family's 1533-position model. The record is from RNAcentral.